UGAAGAGUUCAGCAUCUCUUAGUCAACUAAGUACCACGAGGGCAAGAACCAAACAGAAGGGCGAGAGUAUGAGAGUAUGAGAGUACGUGCAGCUGUGCUCCAGGCAUGUGACACUCACUGGUGGACCAGCUUCCGCUGGGAAGUCAGCAGAGCUCGCAAAUAGAAAUUGUUAGACUUCCCUGAAGAACUUCCCAACAACCACCAGUUCUGUGAAACAACAUGUGCUACUCAAAGUUUGAUUAAAUGGGAGAAAAAAAAAUUCCCCAUAGGCAACCUUAGGGGCGUGUAACAUUGGCUCUCAGUCAUUGGAACCUGAUUCUGAGGAUGCAUCGGCAAGCGGCAUGCCGUGUCACAACACAACAUCUGGCUAUUUGAAAAACAUCAAAUACACAAAUCAGCAUGCAAAAAUAAAUGAAUGAAACAGGAA
Molecule: long non-coding RNA, 427 nt
Filed under: Mus caroli (Ryukyu mouse)
Lineage: Eukaryota; Metazoa; Chordata; Mammalia; Rodentia; Muridae
Description: lncRNA (MGP_CAROLIEiJ_G0004516.1)
Source: RNAcentral